RNAcentral lists this ribosomal RNA (888 nucleotides) under Trichoderma sp. DV-2018c. RNAcentral describes it as "LSU rRNA". It matches the Rfam family "Eukaryotic large subunit ribosomal RNA", at positions 42 to 959 of the family's 3401-position model. Lineage: Eukaryota; Fungi; Ascomycota; Sordariomycetes; Hypocreales; Hypocreaceae. The record is from RNAcentral.
AUCAAUAAGCGGAGGAAAAGAAACCAACAGGGAUUGCCCCAGUAACGGCGAGUGAAGCGGCAACAGCUCAAAUUUGAAAUCUGGCCCCUCGGGGUCCGAGUUGUAAUUUGUAGAGGAUGCUUUUGGUGAGGUGCCGCCCGAGUUCCCUGGAACGGGACGCCACAGAGGGUGAGAGCCCCGUCUGGCUGGCCGCCGAGCCUCUGUAAAGCUCCUUCGACGAGUCGAGUAGUUUGGGAAUGCUGCUCAAAAUGGGAGGUAUAUGUCUUCUAAAGCUAAAUAUUGGCCAGAGACCGAUAGCGCACAAGUAGAGUGAUCGAAAGAUGAAAAGCACCUUGAAAAGAGGGUUAAAUAGUACGUGAAAUUGUUGAAAGGGAAGCGCUUGUGACCAGACUUGGGCGCGGCGGAUCAUCCGGGGUUCUCUCCGGUGCACUUCGCCGCGUCUGGGCCAGCAUCAGUUCGUCGCGGGGGAAAAAGGCUUCGGGAACGUGGCUCCUCCGGGAGUGUUAUAGCCCGUUGCAUAAUACCCUGCGGUGGACUGAGGACCGCGCAUCUGCAAGGAUGCUGGCGUAAUGGUCACCAGCGACCCGUCUUGAAACACGGACCAAGGAGUCGUCUUCGUAUGCGAGUGUUCGGGUGUCAAACCCCUACGCGUAAUGAAAGUGAACGCAGGUGAGAGCUUCGGCGCAUCAUCGACCGAUCCUGAUGUUCUCGGAUGGAUUUGAGUAAGAGCAUACGGGGCCGGACCCGAAAGAAGGUGAACUAUGCCUGUAUAGGGUGAAGCCAGAGGAAACUCUGGUGGAGGCUCGCAGCGGUUCUGACGUGCAAAUCGAUCGUCAAAUAUGGGCAUGGGGGCGAAAGACUAAUCGAACCUUCUAGUAGCUGGUUUCC